RNAcentral lists this long non-coding RNA (520 nucleotides) under Chinchilla lanigera (long-tailed chinchilla). RNAcentral's name for it is "lncRNA (ENSCLAG00000026419.1)". The record is from RNAcentral. Lineage: Eukaryota; Metazoa; Chordata; Mammalia; Rodentia; Chinchillidae.
AUGAAGACCCUAGGCAUGGCAGUGUCACUGGAAGGCCCGGGACCCACAGGCAGGAGACGGCGUGUAUCUCCGAGUCAUUGUCCCUUCUUCUUGCACCCGUACCUGACCCUGACCAGACCCCUCAGCUCCUGGCCCGACUGGCUCCAUCCUCAUCUCGGGACAGCGGCCCACACCGGAGCACUAGCCCCUGGGAGCCGCCUCAUGUCUCACCUCCGACCGCAUCAGGCUGCUCUAUGCCUGCAAGUUAAAAGCAGGCGGAGAAGAGAUAUUUCCAAACAUUCUGUAAAUUAAACUCCAAGGAGCAAAGCAGCUAAGCCCAGCCUGGUCAGCAUUGCUUUUCUUCGGAAAGAGGAAGGCAGAUCCUUCUGGGGAAGGAACUUGACAGUACCAGCUGAAACUUCCUGGAAGGUGCUGAGUAGGUGCAAGGAGCCGAGUGCACUGCCGGGCACUGGCACUAGCUCACCACUCCGCCUGGCAGUUUCGAAAAAGUCUGUGGUCACAAUGUCACCGAGGCAGCACC